This 93-nucleotide transfer RNA is filed under the name Clostridia bacterium. RNAcentral describes it as "tRNA-Ser". It matches the Rfam family "tRNA". From Rfam's summary of the family: Transfer RNA (tRNA) molecules are approximately 80 nucleotides in length. Their secondary structure includes four short double-helical elements and three loops (D, anti-codon, and T loops). Further hydrogen bonds mediate the characteristic L-shaped molecular structure. tRNAs have two regions of fundamental functional importance: the anti-codon, which is responsible for specific mRNA codon recognition, and the 3' end, to which the tRNAs corresponding amino acid is attached (by aminoacyl-tRNA synthetases). tRNAs cope with the degeneracy of the genetic code in two manners: having more than one tRNA (with a specific anti-codon) for a particular amino acid; and 'wobble' base-pairing, i.e. permitting non-standard base-pairing at the 3rd anti-codon position. RNAcentral also lists the same sequence under 1 other name. The record is from RNAcentral. Lineage: Bacteria; Bacillati; Bacillota; Clostridia.
GGAGUGGUAUCGAAGUGGUCAUAACGAGAGCGACUCGAAAUCGUUUGGUCGGUGUGAGCCGGCCCGUGGGUUCGAAUCCCACCCACUCCGCCA